GGAUGUGAGGUCGAUCUGGCUGUGACAUCUAUAAUCCCCAUUGAUGCUCAGAGUUGAUUUGCUGAUCUGGUUGGCGAGGCUGGUUCGUCUUCCUCCCUCACCCCUCCAUGUGCAUCCUCGGUCAAAGAGGAUGACUUUUUUUUUUGCCU
Molecule: small nuclear RNA, 149 nt
Filed under: Erinaceus europaeus (western European hedgehog)
Lineage: Eukaryota; Metazoa; Chordata; Mammalia; Eulipotyphla; Erinaceidae
Description: 7SK RNA
Rfam family: 7SK RNA
About the family: 7SK was discovered as an abundant small nuclear RNA in the mid-70s but a possible function has only recently been suggested.
Source: Rfam by way of RNAcentral